This 870-nucleotide ribosomal RNA is filed under the name uncultured archaeon. RNAcentral's name for it is "bacterial SSU rRNA". It matches the Rfam family "Archaeal small subunit ribosomal RNA", at positions 1 to 878 of the family's 1478-position model. The record is from RNAcentral.
UUCCCGGUGGAUCCUGCCGGACCUGAUUGCUAUCGGAUUGGUACUAAGCCAUGCGAGUCAUUGUAGCAAUACAAGGCGGACGGCUCAGUAACACGUAGUCAACCUAACUCGUGGACGUGGAUAACCUCGGGAAACUGAGAAUAAACCACGAUAGAUCAUAGUGCCUGGAAUGGCUUAUGGUCCAAACAGUUUACUGCCAUGGGAUGGGACUGCGGCCUAUCAGCUUGUUGGUGAGGUAAUGGCCCACCAAGGCGAUUACAGGUACGGGCUCUGAGAGGAGAAGCCCGGAGAUGGGUACUGAGACACGGACCCAGGCCCUAUGGGGCGCAGCAGGCGAGAAACCUUAGCAAUGUGCGAAAGCACGACUGGGUCAGUCCGAGUGAUUCCUGAUAAAGGAGUCUUUUGCUUGUCCUAAAAGCACAGGUGAAUAAGGGGUGGGCAAGUCUGGUGUCAGCCGCCGCGGUAAUACCAGCACCUCGAGUGGUCAGGACGUUUAUUGGGCCUAAAGCAUCCGUAGCCGGCUCUGCAAGUCUUCGGUUAAAUCCACCUGCUCAACAGAUGGGCUGCUGGAGAUACUACAGAGCUAGGGAGUGGGAGAGGCAGACGGUAUUCAGUGGGUAGGGGUAAAAUCCUCUGAUCCAUUGAGGACCACCAGUGGCGAAGGCGGUCUGCCAGAACACGUUCGACGGUGAGGGAUGAAAGCUGGGGGAGCAAACCGGAUUAGAUACCCGGGUAGUCCCAGCUGUAAACGAUGCAAACUCGGUGAUGCAUUGGCUUAUGGCCAAUGCAGUGCCGCAGGGAAGCCGUUAAGUUUGCCGCCUGGGAAGUACGGACGCAAGUCUGAAACUUAAAGGAAUUGGCGGGGGAGCA